This 193-nucleotide ribosomal RNA is filed under the name uncultured Thelephoraceae. Its description in RNAcentral is "partial 28S ribosomal RNA". It matches the Rfam family "Eukaryotic large subunit ribosomal RNA", at positions 1 to 189 of the family's 3401-position model. Lineage: Eukaryota; Fungi; Basidiomycota; Agaricomycetes; Thelephorales; Thelephoraceae. The record is from RNAcentral.
UUGAUCUCAAAUCAGGUAGGACUACCCGCUGAACUUAAGCAUAUCAAUAAGCGGAGGAAAAGAAACUAACAAGGAUUCCCCUAGUAACUGCGAGUGAAGCGGGAAGAGCUCAAAUUUAAAAUCUGGCGUGCCUCUGGUCGUCCGAGUUGUAGUCUGGAGAAGCGUUUUCCGUGCUGGACCGUGUACAAGUCUC